RNAcentral lists this ribosomal RNA (719 nucleotides) under uncultured bacterium. RNAcentral describes it as "bacterial SSU rRNA". It matches the Rfam family "Bacterial small subunit ribosomal RNA", at positions 96 to 837 of the family's 1533-position model. The record is from RNAcentral.
UGGCGGACGGGUGAGUAAUGCAUGGACCUACUGAACGUGGGGGAUAACGUAGGGAAACUUACGCUAAUACCGCAUACGUCUGGGAGAAAGCAGGGGACCUUCGGGCCCUGCGCGGUCAGACGGACCGAUGUUCGAUUAGAGUUGGUGAGGUAAUGGCUCACCAAGGCGACGAUCGAUAGCUGGUCUGAGAGGAUGAUGCCACACUGGAACUGAGACACGGUCCAGACUCCUACGGGAGGCAGCAGUGGGGAAUAUGACAAUGGGCGCAAGCCUGAUCCAGCAAUGCCGCGUGUGUGAAGAAGGCCUUCGGGUUAAAGCACUUUUAUCGGGAGCGAAAUACCAUCGGUUAAUACCCGGUGGGGCUGACGGUACGAGGAAUAAGCACCGGCUAACUUCGUGCCAGCAGCCGCGGUAAUACGAAGGGUGCAAGUUAAUCGGAAUUACUGGGCGUAAAGGGUGCGUAGGCGGUUAGUUAAGUCUGUCGUGAUCCCCGGGCUCAACCUGGGAAUGGCGAUGGAUACUGGCUGGCUAGAGUGUGUCAGAGGGGUGGAAUUUCCGGUGUAGCGGUGAAAUGCGUAGAGAUCGGAAGGAACAUCAGUGGCGGGCGGCCAUCUGGGACAACACUGACGCUGAAGCACGAAAGCGUGGGGAGCAAACAGGAAGAUACCCUGGUAGUCCACGCCCUAAACGAUGCGAACUGGAUGUUGGUCUCAACUCGG